AAGUCGUAACAAGGUUUCCGUAGGUGAACCUGCGGAAGGAUCAUUAACACGUAUCCAAACGUUAAAACCCCCCCCGUGAACCUUCAUCCUGCUGUUGUAACCCGCGUAGUUCGCAAUCUCUGAUAAAUCAUAGCCCGGAAAGUUGUAGUGAUUCAGAGACCUCUGUCAGUGUCGGAAAGUGUCAUUGAUUGUGCAAGGAUAGCGCUUCUACGAUUCCUGUAGACCGUACACUCGGGCAGGAGCUUUGCCAAAGGGUCCCCAUGCCCCCUAAUAACCCCACAGUUUAAUGUGAAGCUCAAUGUAAUACAUUGGGUAAAAAAACCGAACAACGGUUAACAAUGGAUAUCUUGGUUCUC
RNAcentral lists this unclassified non-coding RNA (356 nucleotides) under fungal sp. RNAcentral's name for it is "partial internal transcribed spacer region". The stretch from base 1 to 46 matches the Rfam family "Eukaryotic small subunit ribosomal RNA", at positions 1786 to 1831 of the family's 1831-position model. Lineage: Eukaryota; Fungi. The record is from RNAcentral.